AUUAUGCCCCCCUUCGAAGAAGAGGGGGUAUAUUGCUUUGCUUAUGUCGGUCUGUCGGUCGGUCGGUCGGUCCGUCCACCAGGUGGUUGUCAGACAAUAACUCAAGAACGCUUGGGCCUAGGAUCAUGAAACUUCAUAGGUACAUUGAUCAUGACUCGCAGAUGACCCCUAUUGAUUUUGAGGUCACUAGGUCAAAGGUCAAGGUCACAGUGACCCGAAAUAGUAAAAUGGUUUCCGGAUGAUAACUCAAGAACGCAUACGCCUAGGAUCAUGAAACUUCAUGGGUAGAUUGAUCAUGACUCGCAGAUGACCGCUAUUGAUUUUGAGGUCACUAGGUCAAAGGUCAAGGUCACGUUGACCCGAAAUAGUAAAAUGGUUUCCGGAUGAUAACUCAAGAAUGCAUACGCCUAGGAUCAUGAAACUUCAUGGGUAGAUUGAUCAUGACUCGCAGAUGACCCCUAUUGAUUUUGAGGUCACUAGGUCAAAGGUCAAGGUCACGGUGACCCGAAAUAGUAAAAUGGUUUCCGGAUGAUAACUCAAGAACGCUUAUGCCUAGGAUCAUGAAACUUCAUAGGUACAUUGAUCAUGACUCGCAGAUGACCCCUAUUGAUUUUCAGGUCACUAGGUCAAAGGUCAAGGUCACGGUGACCCGAAAUAGUAAAAUGGUUUCCGGAUGAGAACUCAAGAACGCUUAUGCCUAGGAUCAUGAAACUUCAUAGGUACAUAGAUCAUGACUCCCAGAUGACCCCUAUUGAUUUUCAGGUCACAAGGUCAAGGUCACGGUGACCCGAAAUAGUAAAAUGGUUUCUGGAUGACUCAAGAACGCUUAUGCCUAGGAUCAUGAAACUUCAUAGGUACAUUGAUCAUGACUCGCAGAUGACCCCUAUUGAUUUUCAGGUCACUAGGUCAAAGGUCAAAGUCACGGUGACUCAACUUAGAUAAAUGGUUUCCGGAUGAUUACUCAAUAACACUUACGCCUAGGAUCAUGAAACUUCAUAGGUACAUUGAUCAUGACUCGCAGAUGAUCCCUAUUGACUUAUAGGUCACUAGGUCAAAGGUCAAGGUCACUGUGAAUUGACACAGUAAAAUGGUUUCCGGAUGAUAACUCAAGAAAGCUUACGCCUAGGAUCAUGAAACUUCAUAGGUACAUUGAUCAUGACUCGCAGAUGACCCCUAUUGAUUUUCAGGUCACUAGGUCAAAGGUCAAGGUCACAGUGACAAAAAACGUAUUCACACAAUGGCUGCCACUCAAACUGACCGCCCAUAUGGGGGCUUGCAUGUUUUACAAACAGCCCUUGUUUCAAUUAAUGAACCAUUUUAGGGUUCAUGAACCAUUUUAAGAGUUAAUUAUCUCUUCAUGAACUCCUAAAUGAGACAGUUUGUCAACUCAGGAAGCCUUUUUCUUAAGGGAACCAUUCCAUGAGAUCAGGUGGGAGUCAUGACAGAUCACAUUGUAUAACCAUGCAGGAACCAUAACAUUAAAGUUGUAUAUGAUUUUGUUUGCAGCUGUUAUCUGUUUAUUGAAGCCAUAAAGUAUCGGCAUAAGGAGAGGUAAUGAAUAGCCAGGCAAAAUAUCUUAAAUAAAAAAUCCAAGUGGCAGUUUUGGUGUAAAUCUUCUGAUGUAAAUGAUUUUGAUUUAAUUUUGUAUGGUAAUAAAUCCAGAUUUAAAUCUGUCAUAUUUAUUUUUUGCCCAAACCAAACAGGCGGAUGUAAUUGAUGCGUGCCAUAUUAAAAUUGAACAUUUAAAAGUAACAUUACUACUCAAAAUCAACGAAAAUUUCGUACAAUAUUUCGUCAAAUAAAGCUAAACAAUUAAAAAUCAUUGUUCCUUAUUGCCAUUGUCGAAAUUUCAACGCCAGAUGUGGUCUGGUAAAAUAGAUGUUUGUGGAUACAAAAUACUCGUCUUUUUAUGUCCCCCACUAUAGUAGUGGGGGACAUAUUGUUUUUGCCUUGUCUGUUGGUCUGUUGGUUGGUCUGUUGGUUGGUUUGUGCCAACUUUAACAUUUAACAAUAACUUUUGCUAUAUUGAAUAUAGCAACUUGAUAUUUGGCAUGCAUGUGUAUCUCAUGGAGCUGCACAUUUUGAGUGGUGAAAGGUCAAGGUCAUCCUUCAAGGUCAAAUAUAUGGGUCAAAAUUGCUCAUGUAAUGUCAUUUCUGCAAUAUUGAAGCUAGCA
Dreissena polymorpha is the source of this 2174-nucleotide long non-coding RNA. RefSeq lists it as uncharacterized. The transcript has 3 exons. The record is from RefSeq and is a predicted model, not a curated record. Lineage: Eukaryota; Metazoa; Mollusca; Bivalvia; Myida; Dreissenidae.